AGGACGAACGCUGGCGGCGUGCUUAACACAUGCAAGUCGAGCGGAAAGGCCCUUCGGGGUACUCGAGCGGCGAACGGGUGAGUAACACGUGAGUAAUCUGCCCCUAGCUCUGGGAUAGCUCCGGGAAACCGGGAUUAAUACCAGAUACGACCACUUUAGACAUCUGCUGUGGUGGAAAGAAUUUCGGCUAGGGAUGAGCUCGCGGCCUAUCAGCUUGUUGGUGAGGUAACGGCUCACCAAGGCGACGACGGGUAGCCGGCCUGAGAGGGCGACCGGGCCACGACUGGGACUGAGACACGGCCCAGACUCCUACGGGAGGCAGCAGUGGGGAAUAUUGGACAAUGGGCGCAAGCCUGAUCCAGCCAUGCCGCGUGAGUGAUGACGGCCUUAGGGUUGUAAAGCUCUUUCGCUCGGGACGAUAAUGACGGUACCGAGAUAAGAAGCCCCGGCUAACUUCGUGCCAGCAGCCGCGGU
Molecule: ribosomal RNA, 474 nt
Filed under: uncultured bacterium
Lineage: Bacteria
Description: SSU rRNA
Rfam family: Bacterial small subunit ribosomal RNA
Source: RNAcentral